GAUGAACGCUGACAGAAUGCUUAACACAUGCAAGUCUUUGGCGAAGCUGUGCUUGCACAGCCUAGCCAAGGCGGACGGGUGAGUAACGCGUAAGGAACUUGCCCUGCAGUCAGGGAUAACAGACGGAAACGACUGAUAAGACCUGGUAAAGUCAGGCGGACUCAUGUCCAGCCUGAUGAAAAGAGAUGCUGCAGGAGAGCCUUGCGUCCUAUUAGCUUGUUGGUGGGGUAACGGCCCACCAAGGCGAUGAUAGGUAGCCGGCCUGAGAGGGUGGACGGCCACAAGGGGACUGAGAUACGGCCCUUACUCCUACGGGAGGCAGCAGUGGGGAAUAUUGGACAAUGGGGGCAAUCCUGAUCCAGCAAUUCUGUGUGCACGAUGAAGGUUUUCGGAUUGUAAAGUGCUUUCAGCAGGGAAGAAAAAAAUGACGGUACCUGCAGAAGAAGCGACGGCUAAAUACGUG
This 463-nucleotide ribosomal RNA is filed under the name uncultured bacterium. RNAcentral describes it as "partial 16S ribosomal RNA". It matches the Rfam family "Bacterial small subunit ribosomal RNA", at positions 28 to 507 of the family's 1533-position model. The record is from RNAcentral.